CUCUGACACUCCCUACGGGAGGCAGCAGUGGGGAAUAUUGCACAAUGGGCGCAAGCCUGAUGCAGCCAUGCCGCGUGUAUGAAGAAGGCCUUCGGGUGUAAAGUACUUUCAGCAGUGAGGAAGGCGGAGUCGUUAAUAGCGGCCUCGUUUGACGUUAGCUGCAGAAGAAGCACCGGCUAACUCCGUGCCAGCAGCCGCGGUAAUACGGAGGGUGCGAGCGUUAAUCGGAAUUACUGGGCGUAAAGCGCAUGCAGGUGGUUGUUAAGUCAGAUGUGAAAGCCCGGGGCUCAACCUCGGAAUUGCAUUUGAAACUGGCAGACUAGAGUACUGUAGAGGGGGUAGAAUUUCAGGUGUAGCGGUGAAAAUGCGUAGAGAUCUGAAGGAAUACCGGUGGCGAAGGCGGCCCCCUGGACAGAUACUGACACUCAGAUGCGAAAGCGUGGGGAGCAAACAGGAUUAGAUACCCUGGUAG
This 472-nucleotide ribosomal RNA is filed under the name uncultured bacterium. RNAcentral describes it as "bacterial SSU rRNA". It matches the Rfam family "Bacterial small subunit ribosomal RNA", at positions 328 to 793 of the family's 1533-position model. The record is from RNAcentral.